Molecule: long non-coding RNA, 429 nt
Organism: Pelobates fuscus (common spadefoot toad)
Lineage: Eukaryota; Metazoa; Chordata; Amphibia; Anura; Pelobatidae
Exons: 4
Source: RefSeq, a predicted model, not a curated record
UUGUUUAGGUUGUUUGUAUUUUUGAAGGAGUAUAAUGAAUACAGGGAGUACCUCUCAAGCAUACAUAGAAAGAAAAUGAAGAAAAAGUUGGAGAAACAAAGUAGAAGAAAUUCUUCUUCGAACCAAUGAUACUCCCAAGAUAUUAGUUAGAAAAUUAAUUUCUUAAUAAAGGUUUAUUACUACUUGACGAUUUUGCCACGUGUGAUUUCCUGCAAAACAUAUGAAAAUAUGUCAUCAUACGAACAUGCAUCUUCCAUUAGAGCCAGGCCAACACAGAGAAAUACGUCUUCGGGGAUCAAACUCUCACCAUGUCCUAAUAAUCGGAUUCCGAUGCUUACCACAAAUCCCUCGGAAAAGCAUUUGACCUUGAGGAUCUACACUGUCGUUUGAUGAAGACAACCUACAACAGCCUGCAUGACCCAUACUUAA